CCGCUAGCUACAGGCUUAACACAUGCAAGUCGACGUGAAACGGGAAGAAAGCUUGCUUUCUUUGCCGGCGACCGGCGCACGGGUGAGUAACACGUAUCCAACCUGCCCUUUACUCGGGGAUAGCCUUUCGAAAGAAAGAUUAAUACCCGAUAGUAUAAUGAUUCCGCAUGGUUUCAUUAUUAAAGGAUUCCGGUAAAGGAUGGGGAUGCGUUCCAUUAGGUUGUUGGUGAGGUAACGGCUCACCAAGCCUUCGAUGGAUAGGGGUUCUGAGAGGAAGGUCCCCCACAUUGGAACUGAGACACGGUCCAAACUCCUACGGGAGGCAGCAGUGAGGAAUAUUGGUCAAUGGGCGCUAGCCUGAACCAGCCAAGUAGCGUGAAGGAUGAAGGCUCUAUGGGUCGUAAACUUCUUUUAUAUAAGAAUAAAGUGCAGUAUGUAUACUGUUUUGUAUGUAUUAUAUGAAUAAGGAUCGGCUAACUCCGUGCCAGCAGCCGCGGUAAUACGGAGGAUCCGAGCGUUAUCCGGAUUUAUUGGGUUUAAAGGGAGCGUAGGUGGACUGGUAAGUCAGUUGUGAAAGUUUGCGGCUCAACCGUAAAAUUGCAGUUGAUACUGUCAGUCUUGAGUACAGUAGAGGUGGGCGGAAUUCGUGGUGUAGCGGUGAAAUGCUUAGAUAUCACGAAGAACUCCGAUUGCGAAGGCAGCUCACUGGACUGCAACUGACACUGAUGCUCGAAAGUGUGGGUAUCAAACAGGAUUAGAUACCCUGGUAGUCCACACAGUAAACGAUGAAUACUCGCUGUUUGCGAUAUACAGUAAGCGGCCAAGCGAAAGCAUUAAGUAUUCCACCUGGGGAGUACGCCGGCGACGGUGAAACUCAAAGGAAUUGACGGGGGCCCGCACAAGCGGAGGAACAUGUGGUUUAAUUCGAUGAUACGCGAGGAACCUUACCCGGGCUUAAAUUGCAGUGGAAUGAUGUGGAAACAUGUCAGUGAGCAAUCACCGCUGUGAAGGUGCUGCAUGGUUGUCGUCAGCUCGUGCCGUGAGGUGUCGGCUUAAGUGCCAUAACGAGCGCAACCCUUAUCUUCAGUUACUAACAGGUCAUGCUGAGGACUCUGGAGAGACUGCCGUCGUAAGAUGUGAGGAAGGUGGGGAUGACGUCAAAUCAGCACGGCCCUUACGUCCGGGGCUACACACGUGUUACAAUGGGGGGUACAGAAGGCAGCUGGCGGGUGACCGUAUGCUAAUCCCAAAAUCCUCUCUCAGUUCGGAUCGAAGUCUGCAACCCGACUUCGUGAAGCUGGAUUCGCUAGUAAUCGCGCAUCAGCCACGGCGCGGUGAAUACGUUCCCGGGCCUUGUACACACCGCCCGUCAAGCCAUGGGAGCCGGGGGUACCUGAAGUACGUAACCGCAAGGAUCGUCCUAGGGUAAAACUGGUG
This 1437-nucleotide ribosomal RNA is filed under the name uncultured organism. RNAcentral's name for it is "SSU rRNA". It matches the Rfam family "Bacterial small subunit ribosomal RNA". The record is from RNAcentral.